GCGCUCUAAGAUAGACCUGCGCCCGAUUAGUUAGUUGGCGAGGUAAAAGCUCACCAAGACUAUGAUCGGUAGCCGGCCUGAGAGGGUGAUCGGCCACACUGGGACUGAGAUACGGCCCAGACUCCUACGGGAGGCAGCAGUGAGGAAUAUUGGUCAAUGGGCGAAAGCCUGAACCAGCAACGCCGCGUGAGGGAUGAAGGUCUAAGGAUCGUAAACCUCUGUUAGAGGGGACGAAUGGUCUCGAAUUGGCGAGACUUGACGGUACCCUCAGAGAAAGCCCCGGCUAACUCCGUGCCAGCAGCCGCGGUAAUACGGGGGGGGCUAGCGUUGUUCGGAAUUAUUGGGCGUAAAGGGCGCGCAGGCGGUAAUAUAAGUCAGACGUGAAAUCCCUCAGCUUAACUGAGGAACUGCGUUUGAAACUGUAUUGCUUGAGUACAGGAGAGGAGAGUGGAAUUCCCAGUGUAGCGGUGAAAUGCGUAGAUAUUGGGAGGAACACCGGUGGCGAAGGCGGCUCUCUGGACUGUUACUGACGCUGAGGCGCGAAAGCAUGGGGAGCAAACGGGAUUAGAUACCCCGGUAGUCCAUGCCGUAAACGAUGGGCACUAGGUGUAGAGGGUUUCAACCCCUUCUGUGCCGUAGCUAACGCAUUAAGUGCCCCGCCUGAGGAGUACGGCCGCAAGGCUAAAACUCAAAGGAAUUGACGGGGGCCCGCACAAGCGGUGGAGCAUGUGGUUCAAUUCGACGCAACGCGAAGAACCUUACCUGGGUUUGACAUCUCCCUCAUCCUCUAUAAAUAGAAGGAGUGCCCUGUUAAGGGGAAGUGGGAAGACAGGUGCUGCAUGGCUGUCGUCAGCUCCAGAAAGGUGGGGGAUUGACGUCCAAGUCCCUCAUGGCCUUUUAAUUCCAAGGCCUACCACACUGGCCUACAAUGGGCUGAUUGCCAAAGGGUCCCAAAACUCCCCGGAGGGGGGGCUUAAUCCCCCGAAAAAUCAGUUCCCAUGUUCGGAGUUGGGAGGUUGGGGAACUUGGAA
This 1031-nucleotide ribosomal RNA is filed under the name uncultured bacterium. RNAcentral's name for it is "bacterial SSU rRNA". It matches the Rfam family "Bacterial small subunit ribosomal RNA", at positions 215 to 1331 of the family's 1533-position model. The record is from RNAcentral.